GUGGCUUGUGGCUCAAUGGUAGAGCACUCGCCUAGCAUAGGUGAGGCACUGACUUCGAUCCUCAGCACCACA
RNAcentral lists this transfer RNA (72 nucleotides) under Marmota monax (woodchuck). RNAcentral describes it as "tRNA.Ala". The record is from RNAcentral. Lineage: Eukaryota; Metazoa; Chordata; Mammalia; Rodentia; Sciuridae.